GAAAAAUGUUUAGCUCUGAUAAAUAGAAUUGAAAAAGUGACUAGAAUGGACUGUUAUUAUACAAGUUUAUAACAAGAUAUAAUGUUCAAUACAUACAAAUACAAUCUGCAGUUUUCCUUGCAUCAACAAAAAUGGUUAAGCAUGUAUCAACUAUUUUACCUCUUCAUUGCCCAAAGAGGAGAAGAUGGUCAGCUUUUUCAUUGCCAACUUUAUUGACCCCUUCCUCUGAUAUUUGCUUGAGUUGUCAUUGAUCUUUUGUAGGAUUUUGCUACAAGACCCUGCGUAUGCAACUAUUGUCACUAGAAUCAUAAAGUUGCUCUAGAGUUUUUAUCACUUGUUUCAUGUUUGGCCUAAACUCUGGUUCUGUUGAUAGGCAUUGGAGUGCAAGGCCAAAAGCUUUUCGCAUAGCACCAAAAGUAUACUGACCUUCAAUGCGAGCAUCCAACACUUGGAAACCAUUACGUCUGCUGCUAAGGUAAGGCCUUGCCCACUCAACUAAAU
RNAcentral lists this unclassified non-coding RNA (501 nucleotides) under Hevea brasiliensis (rubber tree). Lineage: Eukaryota; Viridiplantae; Streptophyta; Magnoliopsida; Malpighiales; Euphorbiaceae. The record is from RNAcentral.